This 707-nucleotide ribosomal RNA is filed under the name uncultured Bacilli bacterium. RNAcentral describes it as "bacterial SSU rRNA". It matches the Rfam family "Bacterial small subunit ribosomal RNA", at positions 50 to 739 of the family's 1533-position model. The record is from RNAcentral. Lineage: Bacteria; Bacillati; Bacillota; Bacilli.
AAUACAUGCAAGUCGAGCGGACCGACGGGAGCUUGCUCCCUUAGGUCAGCGGCGGACGGGUGAGUAACACGUGGGUAACCUGCCUGUAAGACUGGGAUAACUCCGGGAAACCGGGGCUAAUACCGGAUGCUUGAUUGAACCGCAUGGUUCAAUCAUAAAAGGUGGCUUUCAGCUACCACUUACAGAUGGACCCGCGGCGCAUUAGCUAGUUGGUGAGGUAACGGCUCACCAAGGCGACGAUGCGUAGCCGACCUGAGAGGGUGAUCGGCCACACUGGGACUGAGACACGGCCCAGACUCCUACGGGAGGCAGCAGUAGGGAAUCUUCCGCAAUGGACGAAAGUCUGACGGAGCAACGCCGCGUGAGUGAUGAAGGUUUUCGGAUCGUAAAACUCUGUUGUUAGGGAAGAACAAGUACCGUUCGAAUAGGGCGGCACCUUGACGGUACCUAACCAGAAAGCCACGGCUAACUACGUGCCAGCAGCCGCGGUAAUACGUAGGUGGCAAGCGUUGUCCGGAAUUAUUGGGCGUAAAGCGCGCGCAGGCGGUUUCUUAAGUCUGAUGUGAAAGCCCCCGGCUCAACCGGGGAGGGUCAUUGGAGACUGGGGAACUUGAGUGCAGAAGAGGAGAGUGGAAUUCCACGUGUAGCGGUGAAAUGCGUAGAGAUGUGGAGGACACCAGUGGCGAAGGCGACUCUCUGGUCUGUAA